Molecule: small nuclear RNA, 115 nt
Organism: Lepisosteus oculatus (spotted gar)
Lineage: Eukaryota; Metazoa; Chordata; Actinopteri; Semionotiformes; Lepisosteidae
Rfam family: U5 spliceosomal RNA
About the family: U5 RNA is a component of both types of known spliceosome. The precise function of this molecule is unknown, though it is known that the 5' loop is required for splice site selection and p220 binding, and that both the 3' stem-loop and the Sm site are important for Sm protein binding and cap methylation.
Source: Rfam
GCACUCUGGUUUCUCUUCAUCUCAUACAAAUCUUUCGCCUUUUACUAAAGAUUUCCGUGGAGAGGAGCAUGAAUGAGUUCCAUGCAAUUUUUGUGCUUCCCUGCCUUCGGGUGAU